UCCCUGGAACUGCAAAGUGAACCUUCACAAGAAUGGAACUAUGUAUUAGGUAUAGAAAUGGUGAUUAACGCUAACCUGAGAAGCAUCUACAACUGGUUUUGAAUAGCUAAAUAGAUGUGACUUAAUUUGGCAACCUCAGGAAGGGGACCAGACUUCCUUCAUACGUCUUUUCUUUUUCUAACCAGACAUCCGAGUAAAUUGGCUCUCACCACUCUGAACCCGCACAUGGGAUUUGCCACGUUCCUCUGGGGACUCCUCUGGAUUACCCUUCUGUGUCCUGUCGCCUCCUGGUGGCCAACGUCUCCGUGGAUCGAUCCCCAACGUCUUGUGGUGAAGUAUGGUGAUGGAGCCACAGCAUCCUGCAGUAGUACUGACCCUGGUGCUGUCAUACGCUGGAAUGCAACAGUGGGAGCUAAGGAAGAGAAAACUAUGAAGCUGGAGGGUGGACAGUGUGACUGACUAGUCACUGAAUAAUGGCAUAACAUGCUUUUCAGAAACAAAUAAUGGUAAAGAACAGACCCAUCUACCCAUCACCAUUUACAGUAAGAACAUUAUAUUUCAGUAAAUAUGAGAGGUGUUUGUGGUGAAGUAUGGUGAUCCAGCCACAGCAUACUGCAGUAUCAAUGACCCCAUAAUACCCCUACUGACCUGUUCCCUGUUAUUGUCCAGUCUUCUGUCUUUCUGUUAAUCAGUCUGUGUAUUUUUACCCUCCUCUGUCCUUUGUCGGUUUGUCUCUCUGUUUACCCUGUCUGAGUCAUGUCCGUAAGUAAGUUCAUAAAUGUAAGUUUGUAGUACUAGUAGUUUGUUACAAUAAAGUGGGUUUUUCUAAACUUUUGCCUGGAAGAUUCUUGCCCUUGGGUCCUAUCCUGCCGUACCGUGACAAAAACAUGCACACAAUUUUGUAAAUUGUGGUUACA
This is a long non-coding RNA of Alosa alosa (allis shad), 917 nucleotides long. RefSeq lists it as uncharacterized. Lineage: Eukaryota; Metazoa; Chordata; Actinopteri; Clupeiformes; Clupeidae. The record is from RefSeq and is a predicted model, not a curated record. The transcript is spliced from 3 exons.